UACGAAGGGGGCUAGCGUUGCUCGGAAUCACUGGGCGUAAAGCGCACGUAGGCGGGUCUUUAAGUCAGGGGUGAAAUCCUGGAGCUCAACUCCAGAACUGCCUUUGAUACUGAAGAUCUUGAGUCCGGGAGAGGUGAGUGGAACUGCGAGUGUAGAGGUGAAAUUCGUAGAUAUUCGCAAGAACACCAGUGGCGAAGGCGGCUCACUGGCCCGGAACUGACGCUGAGAUGCGAAAGCGUGGGGAGCAAACAGG
RNAcentral lists this ribosomal RNA (253 nucleotides) under uncultured bacterium. Its description in RNAcentral is "partial 16S ribosomal RNA". It matches the Rfam family "Bacterial small subunit ribosomal RNA", at positions 524 to 776 of the family's 1533-position model. The record is from RNAcentral.